This is a long non-coding RNA of Scaptodrosophila lebanonensis, 564 nucleotides long. RefSeq lists it as uncharacterized. The record is from RefSeq and is a predicted model, not a curated record. NCBI's taxonomy places the organism in Eukaryota, Metazoa, Arthropoda, Insecta, Diptera, Drosophilidae. The transcript has 2 exons.
ACUGUUAGAUCUCUGUGUAUUAUAAGUCUCUUGAGUUGUGUUCUGGCAACUUGUCGGGAGGGCUUUAAGCUCGUGGGCAAUAAAUGCUACAUUAUAUCCUACAAUACGAUGGAGUGGCGUGAGGCCGCGGUCUUUUGCGCUCAGAAACAGGCCCAGAUGUUGGUGGUGGAAAAUGAAAUGGAAAGGGAACUUCUGCUGAAAUUUUUCAGAGCUGAAGAUAUAGAGAUAAACUGCUUUCUUAAAGGUGCUUGGACAGCAAUUAAUUGCCUCAAAGAAAAUCGCAACUUUGUUGUGCAUCCCACAAACGAAAAAAUCCCUUUCGACAUGUGGUUGGUCGGAUAUCCUAACAAAAUGCAUCAAAAGUGUGUGCCAUGUUGUUAUAGCUAUAAACAAUUACAUUAUAUGGAUUGGGACUGCGAUAGUACCCGUUAUAGAGCUGUAUGUCAGUAUCCCGCACCCCCAGAAGAGAUAGAAAUUUGCGUUGAAGUUGAACAAGCUGCCCCAUAUUGUAAUCCUCUAAAGCACUAUGCAUCGUUAAAUGUAAAACCACUUGCUUAGAUCGAA